This is a long non-coding RNA of Nymphaea colorata (pocket water lily), 905 nucleotides long. RefSeq lists it as uncharacterized. The record is from RefSeq and is a predicted model, not a curated record. The transcript has 4 exons. NCBI's taxonomy places the organism in Eukaryota, Viridiplantae, Streptophyta, Magnoliopsida, Nymphaeales, Nymphaeaceae.
CACGGGUCGGCCUGAGUAUGAGCCUGAUGCUGCACUCCAAACUGAGCGUCGUUGAACGAUUACUUCACGUCAAUAUGAGGACUAGCCUGAUGCUGCUGCAGUUCACAAUAACCUUCCCGCUUGAAGAAGCAACUUUACUAGAAGAUUACUUCAGAAAGCACUAAAGCAAAGGCUGCUUUUGAGAUUACGUUCUUGGUUCAGAAUAUUCCCAGCUUGUAGCUCAUGACAUACAAUGACAUAAUAGGUUCUUAUCUUCAAACCUUUUUCGUUCGGACAUUGAGUUGAUUUUGAUCCCAAGGAAGAUUGUGUGUAGCUAAGUGGUGCGAGCAUUUGUUUGGACUCGGCAUCGUCUUGGCUUAUGCUCUGUUGUAUAUGAAGGGUUUAAUAGUCUCAGAUAUUAGCUGAAAAAUAUUGUCAAGAUGAAGUCAGAUGCAAAAGGAAACUAUGCUUGUCGUAUCAAACCUCAGUAUACAGCUGUACAGGCUACAGUAUCAAUGAAGGCGAUCAGCAGCAAGCAAAAGAUGCCUUCUUAUCCCUCUCAUCGCUCCCCCAGCUUUCCACCAGUAAAAACGGAAAAGAUAUUAUGUUAACCCAAAUUUUUAAGCGUAAGAACCUAAUGUCCGUAAUAGCUUUUGAGAUCCACUCUAUUAACAGCUGUAUCUUUUCUGCUGCCCUUUUCUGACCAUGAUAGAGAAUGCAUUAUGCCGGAAGUAUGCAUUGUUUACCAUCAACAUGCUUAAACAGUUGAACUUUGGACUUACUCACAGAUGCAAGAGGCAACCCUAACUUUCGACGGCCCAUCUGUGUCAUGGGCAUCUUUUUCGACCAACUGCAAUCCAAGUUCAUAUCCUCUUGCACCAGUGUUCAAUGGGUUGCAGCAAACCAGGACUUUCUGUUGGAGUAUG